Molecule: microRNA precursor, 96 nt
Filed under: Chlorocebus sabaeus (green monkey)
Lineage: Eukaryota; Metazoa; Chordata; Mammalia; Primates; Cercopithecidae
Description: miRNA (ENSCSAG00000027485.1)
Source: RNAcentral
AACAGGGUAGUACUGGUUUGGUGCAAAGGUAAUUGCACUUCUUGCCAUAAAAGUAAUGGCAAAAACCACAACUACUUUUGCACCAACCUACAGAAA